UACGGAGGAUCCAAGCGUUAUCCGGAAUCAUUGGGUUUAAAGGGUCCGUAGGCGGUUUAAUAAGUCAGUGGUGAAAUACCUUCGCUCAACGGAGGAACUGCCAUUGAUACUGUUAGACUUGAAUAAUUGGGAAGUAACUAGAAUAUGUAGUGUAGCGGUGAAAUGCUUAGAUAUUACAUAGAAUACCGAUUGCGAAGGCAGGUUACUAUCAAUUUAUUGACGCUGAUGGACGAAAGCGUGGGGAGCGAACAGG
RNAcentral lists this unclassified non-coding RNA (253 nucleotides) under uncultured Flavobacteriaceae bacterium. RNAcentral's name for it is "contains 16S-23S intergenic spacer region". It matches the Rfam family "Bacterial small subunit ribosomal RNA", at positions 524 to 776 of the family's 1533-position model. Lineage: Bacteria; Pseudomonadati; Bacteroidota; Flavobacteriia; Flavobacteriales; Flavobacteriaceae. The record is from RNAcentral.